This 253-nucleotide ribosomal RNA is filed under the name uncultured bacterium. RNAcentral's name for it is "partial 16S ribosomal RNA". It matches the Rfam family "Bacterial small subunit ribosomal RNA", at positions 524 to 776 of the family's 1533-position model. The record is from RNAcentral.
UACGUAGGGGGCAAGCGUUGUCCGGAAUUAUUGGGCGUAAAGAGCGUGUAGGCGGCCAUGCAGGUCCGUUGUGAAAACUCGAGGCUCAACCUCGAGACGCCGAUGGAAACCGUGUGGCUAGAGUCCGGAAGAGGAGAGUGGAAUUCCUGGUGUAGCGGUGAAAUGCGCAGAUAUCAGGAAGAACACCCGUGGCUAAGGCGGCUCUCUAGUACGGUACUGACGCUGAGACGCGAAAGCGUGGGGAGCGAACAGG